GCGGGCGUGGCGGAACGGCAGACGCGCUGGACUUAGGAUCCAGUGGGCAUCCCCCGUGCGGGUUCAACUCCCGCCGCCCGCA
RNAcentral lists this transfer RNA (82 nucleotides) under Pelotomaculum thermopropionicum SI. It matches the Rfam family "tRNA". Rfam says of the family: Transfer RNA (tRNA) molecules are approximately 80 nucleotides in length. Their secondary structure includes four short double-helical elements and three loops (D, anti-codon, and T loops). Further hydrogen bonds mediate the characteristic L-shaped molecular structure. tRNAs have two regions of fundamental functional importance: the anti-codon, which is responsible for specific mRNA codon recognition, and the 3' end, to which the tRNAs corresponding amino acid is attached (by aminoacyl-tRNA synthetases). tRNAs cope with the degeneracy of the genetic code in two manners: having more than one tRNA (with a specific anti-codon) for a particular amino acid; and 'wobble' base-pairing, i.e. permitting non-standard base-pairing at the 3rd anti-codon position. The record is from Rfam by way of RNAcentral. Lineage: Bacteria; Bacillati; Bacillota; Clostridia; Eubacteriales; Desulfotomaculaceae.